GGAGAGGCUCUCAUUCUAAAGGGCUGGGAAAUAUCCUUCCCUAGACGAAUUUUGUAGCAAGAAAGUGUGAAAAAUAAACACUCGAGUCGGGAAAAGCAAAAGUUUGCAGACAAUAAGGGAUUUCAAUGUAAAUAUCUAGGAAAGUGAAAAAUACACCUGAAGCCAGCCAAAAGCGUAUAACUUGGCAACCCUAGCUUCGUUGGGAGAAUAAAAUUACACUGUCCAAGAAACUUUGCUACACAGACAUGCUUUGCCUUGUAAAGCUAAGUAUUGCGACCACCACAGUGGUCACCAGGUUUUUCUUAAAACUAUUGGCACUUAAAUCUUUUAAAUUGACAAAGAUUGCAUUUUUCAUAUAAAAACAUACUAUGUGAGGCUGACCUAGCUUAAGAAAGCCUAUAUAUUAGAGCUAGGAUGAAAGUACGUAAUAUGAAUUUCUAAGCGAGAUAAAACAGCUGCAUGUUGACGUUUUGAUAAGUCUUGAAGUAAUGAUUUAUUUUAUAAGUUCAGAAUAACAUAUUAAAGUGUCCUUAAGAACAUGCAGAAUUAGGUUAUUUCACCUCACUAAAAACUAUAGGCUCAAUGGAAAAAAAAUAGAUUCAUGAAAUGAAGAGAACUUGCGCAAUUAGAAGAGAUGAGAUGCCAGAUAAACAAAAAUCACCUUUCACCAAAGAUGAUGCCGAAAACCUCAUAUUGCCUAACAUAGGAAAAUUUGGCAUGUGCAAAUUUUAUUGUAUACACAAGCAUACAAAUCUAUUGUUGUAUAGAUUUAUGGUGACGUGUGUUGAGAAUUCAGGUUGUGAAGAAUCAGCAUUUGAUCCCAAGGCCCUGCUGGCAUGCCACCUGAGCAACCAUUUCCAAAGAGCAGUUGAUGAGGAAGGUGAGGUGUAUCCUGUGAGCUGGCAAAACUGUUAUGGUGAGGAAUAUCAACAUGUGAACUCUGCAAGCUGGAAAUUUCUAGAAUGUUUUCAAUGAUUGGUUGUGCAGCUGUCAUUCUUUGUCUUAUUCUUUUUCAGCAGCUCCUUGAGCCAGCAACCGUUGUCUUUAGUUCAUGUAUAAAUAUUUGAAACGAUUGUAUUUUUAUUUCAAGCUUCUUUUAAUAAAAGAAAGGCAUGUUUGUUUCUCUGCUGCUUGCAUAUUCAAGCAAUUCAUUAAGAAUUUAAGUUGGUAUCAGAGCAACUUUAAGCUAUGGAAAGCAGCAGAAAUUCACAAACAAACAUGAAUCAAACACUGGAAAAUCCAGACGACCAAAACUUGAAUCAAAAUCAACCAGAAAAUGUUGAUGACCAGAAUCCAAACAACACCACCAGAAAUAUGACCAUAGUGAAUCCAUCUCCUACCCAACACAUCACCAGCAACACAUAUGUGUUCACCAAUCCUAUCAAGCUAACACAAAACAAUUUUAUGCUCUGGAAAUCUCAAGUGAUUUCCAGCAUAAGAGCAAAUGAGCUCGAAGGCUUCAUAAAUGGGAGCCAUAUUUGUCCCCCCAGAUGCUUCACUAAUCCUGGACCUAAUCAAACUACUAUCACCACCACAAAUCCAGAAUACCAAAUCUGGAAGAAACAAGACCACAUUCUUCUGAGCUGGUUGCUCUCAUCACUCAGUGAAGGUGUGCUUGGCACCGUGGUGGAUUGCUCUACUUCAUGUGAAGUAUGGACAACUCUUGCCAAUCAAUAUGGUGCAAGAACAAGAGCUAGAGUUCUAUACCUGAGAACACAGAUUCAAACCACCAAAAAGGGGUCCCUUACAAUUCAUGACUAUUAUUCCAGAAUGAAAACUAUCCUAAACACUCUUAGAGCAGCUGGAAAUAACAUGACUGAUGAGGACUUCAUUAUGUGUGUUUUAGCUGGAGUAGGACCUGAAUAUGAUUCUGUAGUCACUAAUAUUAACUCUAUGCCAGAAACUCCCUCACUAUCAGAAGUGUAUGGAAUGCUCCUCAGCCAAGAAACUAGAACUGAACAGAACCUCAGCACAGGGUCACUUGAGGCCAACUUCACACAAAUGAGAAAUGGUAGGAGGAACUGGGGGUAUGGUGAAAGAUUUGGUAAUCAACAACAACCUGGAAUAGUCUUUAGAACCCCUGGUAGUAGCUCUGGAAAUGGUGGAAGUGGUGGUCCUGGUCAGGCAAACCAAAAUGCUCAAGACAAAGGGAAAGGCAAGGCUGUUGCAGAAAAUGAGGGCUCUGAGUCAAAGGGUCCAUGCCAGAUUUGCUUCAAAAUGGGUCAUACAGCUGCUGAAUGCUGGCAUAGGUUCAAGAAAAAUUAUGUGCCACAACCAAAUAGGAGAAGAGGGGCAUACAUGGCCUCAGCAGAAGGACAGAGCAGCAAUGCCUGGUACCUGGACAGUGGUGCAACAAACCAUGUAACCAAUGCCAUUGGGAACAUGAACUUGAACUCAGAAUACCAAGGUAAUGACAAGCUCACUGUUGGUAAUGGUAAUAAACUUCACAUCUCUCACAUUGGCUACUCUAUGUUACCUACUUAUAAUCCACACAAGCACAUCAAACUAAACCAUAUUCUCUGUGUACCUGAUAUUGCCAAGAACCUUAUUAGUGUUUCUAAAUUGCUUCUUGAUAAUGAUAUUAAUGUUGAAUUUCAUAAAUCUGUUUGCUUCAUCAAGGACAAGAGCCAAGGGAAAAUUCUGGUGAAAGGAGUGGCUAGAGAUGGACUAUACGAGCUACUAUGCAUGCCUACUCAUUUGAGUGGCAACAAGGUCACAUAUGCUGCUGAGUUAUCUUCCCUUUCAGAGUCUGAGUCAAUAAGCUACAUUAGCAAUCCUAUGUCAAUGAUGUGUUUCAAUUUCAGUGUUGGUAGUAAUGAGUCUGUCAGUACCAGUGUAGCUGAGUCUAGUGAGGCUGACAAAGCAAGUAGUAGAAACCUUAGAACCAAUGAUAUGGACCUUUGGCACUAUAGGCUGGGGCAUCCAAAUUUGUCAGUCCUAAGAAACACUCUACUUUCAUGUAAUCAGCUCAAUAUCAAUAAAAACAUUUUUCCUUCAUUUUGUAAUGCCUGUCAGUAUGGAAAGCAAGCAAAACAAAGCUUCAAAAGCAUUGAAACCAAAACCAGCACAGCCUUAGAAUUGGUUCAUAGUGACCUAUGGGGACCAGCACCUAUCCCAUCAACCCAUGGACAUAAAUAUUACAUAUCCUUUGUGGACGAUAGAACUAGAUACACAUGGUUGUUUCCUUUAACAGCAAAAUCACAGGCCCUUGACACAUUCAUUGUGUUCAAAACUCAAAUAGAAAAUCAGUUAAAUCUGAAAAUCAAAGCCUUACAAACAGACAUGGGUGGAGAGUUUAAAACAUUUGAACCAUAUCUAAAAAGAGAAGGAAUAGCUCUAAGACACUCAUGCCCAUAUUUACAUGAACAAAAUGGAAAGGUGGAAAGAAAACACAGACAUAUUGUGGAAACUGGUCUAGCAUUGUUAGCUCAAGCAAAAAUGCCUUUAAAGUAUUGGCAAGAAGCCUUCAGCUAUGCCACAUAUCUCAUAAACAGACUGACCUCACCUACACUCGAAAACAAAACUCCCUUUGAGCUGUUAUAUCUCACCAAACCAGAUUACUCACAAAUCAAAGUUUUUGGCUGUGAAUGCUAUCCAUACUUGAGACCCUACAACAAGCAUAAGUUUGACUUCCAUACAUCCAAAUGCAUACUGCUGGGUAUUAGUAUCAGUCAUAAAGGCUAUGUUUGCAUGCAUCAUUCAGGAAGAGUCUACAUUUCAGCUAGUGUCAAGUUUAAUGAAAGCUCAUUCCCUUUUCAAAAUGACUCAAAUUUCUGCAAGUAUAGGCUCACUGACCAAAAUGUGUCCCCCACAGUCCUUGAAAAGUUUCAAGUUGUGUCUUUUUCCACAAGUGUCCCCUCUGAGUCAACACAGCAAAAAUCAGCUCAUAGUCAAUCUCAGGCCACUGCUGGAAACUCAGAACAACUCUCAAAUCCUGUUCAAGAUGAAGCAUGUGAGAAUUUGAACCUCAACACUAUGUCAGAUAACCAAUCCCCUGCUCAACUCCCAUCAAACUCCACAGAAGAAAACUGCAGCCUGCCACCUAUAACAGAACCAAACACCCAAGCCUCCAACACUCAAAAGGAAUUACCUUUACAUCCUAUGAUCACAAGAUCAAAGGCCGGAAUCUUUAAACCAAAAGUCUACCAAACAUCUACUCAACCUGAAACCUCUUUACCCCAAGACUCAAUUGUGGCAUUGAAGGACCCUAAGUGGAAAAGAGCCAUGGAAGAUGAAUACAAUGCCUUAAUCAAAAACCAAACCUGGACCUUAAUACCACAUGACCAGAACUACAAGCUCAUUGGAAACAAGUGGGUGUACAAAGUGAAGGAGAAUCCAGAUGGUACCAUAAAUAGAUACAAAGCCAGACUUGUCGUGAAAGGUUUUCUACAGACACCAGGACUUGAUUUUAAUGAGACUUUCAGCCCUGUAGUCAAAGCUGCAACCAUUAGAAUCAUUCUGACUUUGGCUGUGAAUAAUGAUUGGAUGUUGAGGCAAGUGGAUAUAAAUAAUGCUUUUCUGAAUGGGGAGUUGACAGAAACAGUGUACAUGCCACAACCUGAAGGGUUUGAAGACAAAAGAAAGCCAAAUCACAUUUGCAAACUCAAGAAGGCUCUUUAUGGCUUGAGACAGGCACCCAGAGCCUGGUUUGACAAGUUAAAGAGUGCUCUGUACUCUUGGGGGUUCAACAAUUCAAAGUGUGAUACCUCACUAUUUUUUAGAAGGAACAAUGCUGAAAUGGUCAUUAUACUUGUGUAUGUGGAUGACAUAAUUGUCACUGGAAGUGAUAGCAAAGGAAUUGAGGGUGUGAUAGGAAAGCUAAGUGAAGCUUUUGCGUUGAAAGAUCUAGGAAAUCUGAGCUACUUCCUUGGGAUACAGGUCAUAAGAAAUCAGAAUUCUAUUCUGCUUUCUCAAGCUAAAUAUGUCCAAGACCUAUUAACUAAAACCGAGAUGGAGAGCUGCAAAGGAAUAGAGUCUCCAUUCAGCAUAUCAGAAAAGCUGAAGAAAGGAGAAGGUGCCAAGCUCGAUAACCCUUCAUUCUACAGAAGUGUUAUUGGAAGCCUGCAGUAUGCUGUUCUAACGAGACCUGAACUUGCCUACUCUGUCAACAAGCUGAGCCAAUACAUGUCUGACCCAAGACAACCUCACUGGAUAGCCUGCAAACGAGUGUUGAGAUAUCUAAAGAACACUAGUAACAUGUGUUUACAAUUCAAAAAAUCAGAACAUCUUGAUUUGGUAGCCUACACAGAUGCUGACUGGGCAAGUGAUCCAGAUGACAGAAGAUCAAUAAGUGGGUAUUGUGUGUUCCUAGGAGAUAAUUUAGUAGCUUGGAGCUCAAGGAAACAAGGAAUGGUGGCAAGAUCUACAGCAGAGUCAGAGUACAGAGCCAUGGCUCUAUGCACCACUGAAAUCACUUGGAUUAACUCUCUGUUUGAUGAGCUGAAGAUUGAAAUGCAGAGAACUCCAAUGAUCCUGAGUGAUAGCACAAGUGCAGCAGCAAUAGCCACAAAUCCUGUGUAUCACUCAAAAACAAAACACUUUGAAAUAGAUUUGCACUUCAUCAGAGAUAAAGUUACUCAAGGAGAGCUAGAUAUAAAUUUUGUGGCCAGCAGAGACCAAAUUGCAGAUGUUUUAACCAAACCAUUGCCUUACUACAAGUUCAGUCAAUUUCGAAGCAAACUCAAUGUCUUUGACAAGACCUUAAGUUUGAGAGAGGGUGUUGAGAAUUCAGGUUGUGAAGAAUCAGCAUUUGAUCCCAAGGCCCUGCUGGCAUGCCACCUGAGCAACCAUUUCCAAAGAGCAGUUGAUGAGGAAGGUGAGGUGUAUCCUGUGAGCUGGCAAAACUGUUAUGGUGAGGAAUAUCAACAUGUGAACUCUGCAAGCUGGAAAUUUCUAGAAUGUUUUCAAUGAUUGGUUGUGCAGCUGUCAUUCUUUGUCUUAUUCUUUUUCAGCAGCUCCUUGAGCCAGCAACCGUUGUCUUUAGUUCAUGUAUAAAUAUUUGAAACGAUUGUAUUUUUAUUUCAAGCUUCUUUUAAUAAAAGAAAGGCA
This 6048-nucleotide long non-coding RNA is filed under the name Citrus sinensis (sweet orange). RNAcentral describes it as "long non-coding RNA (CSIN_LNC002416)". The record is from RNAcentral. Lineage: Eukaryota; Viridiplantae; Streptophyta; Magnoliopsida; Sapindales; Rutaceae.